This 29-nucleotide ribosomal RNA is filed under the name Fusarium verticillioides. Its description in RNAcentral is "partial 18S ribosomal RNA". The record is from RNAcentral. Lineage: Eukaryota; Fungi; Ascomycota; Sordariomycetes; Hypocreales; Nectriaceae.
GGGGUUCGGAGGUUCACUCCCAACCCCUG